Molecule: ribosomal RNA, 399 nt
Filed under: uncultured bacterium
Lineage: Bacteria
Description: bacterial SSU rRNA
Rfam family: Bacterial small subunit ribosomal RNA
Source: RNAcentral
GACGAACGCUGGCGGCGUGCCUAAUACAUGCAAGUCGAGCGGUUUUCACCUUCGGGUGAGAGUAGCGGCGGACGGGUGAGUAACACGUAGGUAACCUGCCUAACAGACUGGGAUAACUACCGGAAACGGUAGCUAAGACCGGAUACGAUCCUUUGGGGGCAUCCUUGAAUGAUGAAAAGCGGAGCAAUCUGCUACUGAUAGAUGGACCUGCGGCGCAUUAGCUAGUUGGUGAGGUAGUGGCUCACCAAGGCGACGAUGCGUAGCCGACCUGAGAGGGUGAACGGCCACACUGGGACUGAGACACGGCCCAGACUCCUACGGGAGGCAGCAGUAGGGAAUCUUCGGCAAUGGACGAAAGUCUGACCGAGCAACGCCGCGUGAGUGAUGAAGGUUUUCGGA